Molecule: non-coding RNA, 335 nt
Organism: Pelobates cultripes (western spadefoot toad)
Lineage: Eukaryota; Metazoa; Chordata; Amphibia; Anura; Pelobatidae
Source: the annotation of a GenBank genome assembly
CUAUGGCUCCCAAAGUCCCAAAAAGAGUGCCCAUAGCCGUUGAAACCGUUGGCAUAUUUUCCAUCUUGUUCACUUCCCCAAUGCAUUGGUUACUGGAGCCGCAUUGGCACACGCUGACUGAGGGGUCAAAAGGUGGAGAAUUAGCAAUAAUGGAUCCUAUAGGUCGCAUAUGAUUAAUGCUAUCAGUUCAAUUAACCAUAUCAAACCGAAGGGCUUUUCACUAGGGCUCUCAUUGGUUUGGAAACUGAACUACAAACUGAGAAUUGUCUGGAAUUCAAAUUGUAUUUCCCAUUUAUGGCCCCAAUAACCAAACUGCAUCAAUUCUCCAAGUUACC